AUGCCCAACGACAGCCUCGAUGCGCACCUGUUCGGCAGUGCCCGUGCCGGUGCUGGCGCUGGCUUCGACGUGUCCCUGUCGCCGGCGUUUCUCACGUGGGAGCAGCAUGUGAGGAUCCUCAAGGGCGUCGCAUCCGGGCUGGUGUACCUGCACGAGGGGUGGGAACAGGUGGUGGUGCACCGCGACGUCAAGGCCAGCAACGUGCUGCUGGGCGCGGACAUGAGCGCGCGGCUCGGUGACUUCGGCCUCGCGCGCCUCUACGAGCACGGCGCUGCCACGACUCGCGUCGUCGGGACGUUGGGCUACAUGGCGCUGGAGCUCACCGUGACUGGCAAGGCCACCACAACCAUCGAUGCGUUCGGUUUCGGUGGCCUGCUUCUCGAGCUGGCGAGCAGGCGCCGGUCCAUCAACCCCAUCACCGACGUGAACCUGGUGCGUUGGGUCCGAGACCACGGCGUCAGGCGGCAGGGCUGA
This 474-nucleotide ribosomal RNA is filed under the name Triticum aestivum (bread wheat). RNAcentral describes it as "partial small subunit ribosomal RNA". The record is from RNAcentral. Lineage: Eukaryota; Viridiplantae; Streptophyta; Magnoliopsida; Poales; Poaceae.